This 950-nucleotide ribosomal RNA is filed under the name uncultured bacterium. RNAcentral describes it as "bacterial SSU rRNA". It matches the Rfam family "Bacterial small subunit ribosomal RNA", at positions 1 to 958 of the family's 1533-position model. The record is from RNAcentral.
CCUUAGAGUUUGAUCCUGGCUCAGGAUGAACGCUAGCGGCGGGCUUAAUAACGCAAGUCGAGGGGCAGCAUGGGUCUUCGGACCUGAUGGCGACCGACGGACGGGUGCGUAACGCGUACGCAACUUGCCAACAACAGGGAGAUAGCCCGGAGAAAUUCGGAUUAAUAUUCCAUAAUGCAGGGGUACCGCCUGGUACUAUUUGCUAAAGAUUUAUCGGUUGUUGAUAGGCAUGCGUCUGAUUAGUUAGUUGGUGAGGUAAAGGCUCACCAAGACGAUGAUCAGUAGGGGUUCUGAGAGGAUGAUCCCCCACACUGGAACUGAGACACGGUCCAGACUCCUACGGGAGGCAGCAGUAAGGAAUCUUGGUCAAUGGGUGCGAGCCUGAACCAGCCACGCCGCGUGUUAGAAGAAGGCCCUCAGGGUUGUAAAUAACUUUUAUACGGGAAGAAUGGCUCUCAUGCGUGAGAGAGGAGACGGUACCGUACGAAUAAGGACCGGCUAACUACGUGCCAGCAGCCGCGGUAAUACGUAGGGUCCAAGCGUUAUCCGGAAUCACUGGGUUUAAAGGGUGCGUCGGCGGCUUAGUAAGUUUGGGGUGAAAUUCUGUCGCUUAACGAUAGAACGGCCUCGGAUACUGCUAAGCUAGAGUAUAGCAGAGGAAAGCAGAAUUCGUGGUGUAGCGGUGAAAUGCAUAGAUACCACGAGGAAUACCGAUAGCGAAGGCCGCUUUCUGGGCUAUUACUGACGCUUAGGCACGAAAGCGUGGGGAGCGAACAGGAUUAGAUACCCUGGUAGUCCACGCUGUAACGAUGGAUAUUCGGUGUCGGCACAUUGGGUGCCUGCGCCUGAGUGAAAGCGUUAAAUAUCCACCUGGGGAGUACGUCGGCACGAUGAAACUCAAAGGAUUGACGGGGUCCGCACAAGCGUGGAGUAGGGGUUUAUUCGAUGAU